This 274-nucleotide ribosomal RNA is filed under the name uncultured bacterium. Its description in RNAcentral is "partial 16S ribosomal RNA". It matches the Rfam family "Bacterial small subunit ribosomal RNA", at positions 523 to 796 of the family's 1533-position model. The record is from RNAcentral.
AUACGGAGGGUGCAAGCGUUACUCGGAAUCACUUGGCGUAAAGCGCGCGCAGGCGGCUAUUUAAGUUGGAUGUGAAAGCCUACGGCUCAACCGUAGAACUGCAUCCAAAACUAUUUAGCUAGAGUGUGGGAGAGGAAGAUGGAAUUAGUUGUGUAGGGGUAAAAUCCGUAGAGAUAACUAGGAAUACCAAAAGCGAAGGCAAUCUUCUGGAACACUACUGACGCUGAGGCGCGAAAGCGUGGGGAGCAAACGGGAUUAGAUACCCUAGUAGUCC